Sus scrofa (pig) is the source of this 1058-nucleotide non-coding RNA. The record is from RefSeq and is a predicted model, not a curated record. Lineage: Eukaryota; Metazoa; Chordata; Mammalia; Artiodactyla; Suidae.
GCGCCCUCGGACCUGAACGUCCCGCGCAGGCGUCCGCGGAGGUUGCAGUUGUAACACCCAAGUGGAACCCGGAUAGGCUGCUGCCCUAGGCAGUUUAUGACUCACCAAGGCAUGUAGACAAACGGCUUGUCAUGGGUAAACAUCACCUAAAACCUGUUUCUUACACUCAGACUGCAAUAUGCAGGUGGGUGUAAUUAAUCAGAUGGGCCUGAUCCUGUAUCUGAGCUCUCUAGGUGGACCCCAGAGCCCUGUAUCGCUGCCCCCCUCCUCUUGCUUCUAUAAAGCUUAGACCUAACCCCACUCCCCCUGCUCCCCUCACCUGGUCAAGCUCUGGGACUCUGCCAGGUGUAAGUUUGGAUCUCCAUUCCCUGCAUCCUAAGAUGCGGGGAGUUUCCUGGGCCAGGCCAGUCCUGCUCAUCUCAGGGCGCCCAGUACAGCAGGUGAUGGUGCAUGACAAAAAUGAUGAGCAAGCUCUGGGACGCUUGGGGGUCAGUCGUGAAGCCCAUGGUUUCCAAAUCUAAUCUUUUCUGAAUGAUUAGAGCAGGUGGAGGUCUGAAUCUCCAAGUUCGGAGAGUAAAUCAUCUUGUUGAUUACAAGGCGGCUCACCUGAGUGGGCACAUGAAUGACUGGAAUGUGAUUUUUGGAGUUGACAAAUGAUUCAGAAUGAUUCUACAUUCUUUCAAUAGUUUUACUGAAAGGCGAGACCCUAUGGACAGGAAGCACAGGCAACUGUAUUCCUUCCCCUCUAUCUUCAGGACUCAGCUAAAAAGUGGAAGCCGAAACCUCCCAGCUUAGCAUUCUGUUGCACCACAUUUCCCGGUGUAACCUGGGACAUUAAUGCAGAAAAUGUGUCUCUCUUGAGUUCCUUUUUGGAGAGUUGCUUUUUGAAUGUACAUAAUCCUAUUAAAGGACGUCCUAAAGAUAAAAAGCUGUAAGAUUUUAUUUAACCCACUGUUUCCCAAAUUAUUUGGCCAUAGAAGUCCUUUCCUCAACGCAUUCUCUAGUGACCCAGGUCAGCUUGAGCUAAAGGAAUAGAAUGUAUGAUAGGGACACAGGAA